This 253-nucleotide ribosomal RNA is filed under the name uncultured bacterium. Its description in RNAcentral is "partial 16S ribosomal RNA". It matches the Rfam family "Bacterial small subunit ribosomal RNA", at positions 524 to 776 of the family's 1533-position model. The record is from RNAcentral.
GACGGAGGGUGCAAACGUUGUUCGGAAUCACUGGGCGUAAAGGGCGCGUAGGCGGACUUGUAAGUCGGGAGUGAAAGCCCCCGGCUCAACUGGGGAGGGUCAUUCGAUACUGAUCGACUCGAAGGCAGGAGAGGGAAGUGGAAUUCCCGGUGUAGUGGUGAAAUGCGUAGAUAUCGGGAGGAACACCAGUGGCGAAGGCGACUUCCUGGCCUGUUCUUGACGCUGAGGCGCGAAAGCUAGGGGAGCAAACGGG